RNAcentral lists this ribosomal RNA (484 nucleotides) under uncultured bacterium. RNAcentral's name for it is "partial 16S ribosomal RNA". It matches the Rfam family "Bacterial small subunit ribosomal RNA", at positions 30 to 507 of the family's 1533-position model. The record is from RNAcentral.
AUUGAACGCUGGCGGCAGGCCUAACACAUGCAAGUCGAGCGGAUGAAGGGAGCUUGCUCCUGGAUUCAGCGGCGGACGGGUGAGUAAUGCCUAGGAAUCUGCCUGGUAGUGGGGGAUAACGUCCGGAAACGGGCGCUAAUACCGCAUACGUCCUGAGGGAGAAAGUGGGGGAUCUUCGGACCUCACGCUAUCAGAUGAGCCUAGGUCGGAUUAGCUAGUUGGUGGGGUAAAGGCCUACCAAGGCGACGAUCCGUAACUGGUCUUAGAGGAUGUUCAGUCACACUGGAACUGAGACACGGUCCAGACUCCUACGGGAGGCAGCAGUGGGGAAUAUUGGACAAUAGGCGAAAGCCUGAUCCAGCCAUGCCGCGUGUGUGAAGAAGGUCUUCGGAUUGUAAAGCACUUUAAGUUGGGAGGAAGGGCAGUAAGUUAAUACCUUGCUGUUUUGACGUUACCAACAGAAUAAGCACCGGCUAACUUCGUG